Molecule: ribosomal RNA, 275 nt
Filed under: uncultured Methanosaeta sp.
Lineage: Archaea; Methanobacteriati; Methanobacteriota; Methanomicrobia; Methanotrichales; Methanotrichaceae
Description: partial 16S ribosomal RNA
Rfam family: Archaeal small subunit ribosomal RNA
Source: RNAcentral
GCCAGCGUACUCUCCGGAGUGACGGGUACACUGUGGGGACCGCCGGCUGCUAAAGCGGAGGAAGGAAUGGGCAACGGUAGGUCAGUAUGCCCCCGAAUAUCCCGGGCUACACGCGAGCUACAAUGGUUGGUACAAUGGGUAUCUACCCCGAAAGGGGACGGGAAUCUCCUAAAACCAAUCUUAGUUCGGAUUGAGGGCUGCAACUCGCCCUCAUGAAGCUGGAAUCCGUAGUAAUCGCGUUUCAACAGAACGCGGUGAAUACGUCCCUGCUCCUU